AGCAGCCGCGGUAAUUCCAGCUCCAAUAGCGUAUAUUAAAGUUGUUGCAGUUAAAAAGCUCGUAGUUGAAUUUCGGGAUCAAAGGAUCGGUCAUGCCUUGGUAUGUACUGGUUUUAUUGGUUCUCACCUUCUAAAGAACCAUAAUGUCAUUCAUUUGAUGUUAUGGGGAAUUAGGACUGUUACCUUGAAAAAAUUAGAGUGUUUAAAGCAGGCUUACGCUUGAAUACAUUAGCAUGGAAUAAUGAAAUAGGACAUCAGAUUCUAUUUUGUUGGUUUCUAGGAUCGAUGUAAUGAUUAAUAGGGAUAGUUGGGGGCAUUAGUAUUCAAUUGUCAGAGGUGAAAUUCUUGGAUUUAUUGAAGACUAACUACUGCGAAAGCAUUUGCCAAGGAUGUUUUCAUUAAUCAAGAACGAAAGUUAGGGGAUCGAAGACGAUCAGAUACCGUCGUAGUCUUAACCAUAAACUAUGCCGACUAGGGAUCGGAUGAUGUUAAUUUAUAAUGACUCAUUCGG
RNAcentral lists this small RNA (511 nucleotides) under uncultured Glomus. RNAcentral describes it as "SSU rRNA". It matches the Rfam family "Eukaryotic small subunit ribosomal RNA", at positions 569 to 1083 of the family's 1831-position model. Lineage: Eukaryota; Fungi; Glomeromycota; Glomeromycetes; Glomerales; Glomeraceae. The record is from RNAcentral.